RNAcentral lists this unclassified non-coding RNA (1399 nucleotides) under Hevea brasiliensis (rubber tree). Lineage: Eukaryota; Viridiplantae; Streptophyta; Magnoliopsida; Malpighiales; Euphorbiaceae. The record is from RNAcentral.
GUUACAAAUUAAAGUUUAAGGACUUUACUGUUACAAUUAAGUUUAGAGAAUGAGUAAAGUUUAUCCGAAAUCUAUGUGGUUAAAAAGAUUGUGUUGUUUCUAGUUUGUGAUAAAUAAAAUGCCUUUUUAUGAACUUCACUAGGAAGAACUUUAUGAUGCCCUUGUAUUUCUCUUCAAAUUUUCAUUAAGCAUCUAUUGCUUGGUUUUGUCAGCUUGUUCCUCAUCUAGUCCUGCAUACAACUGUGCCUACUCGAUGAAUUCCGGCCUCUUUGAUUUUUAAUAAAAACUAUUUGAUUUGGCUGCUGACUCCUUCCUCCUCUCCCUCCUUGCUUUUAGUUGAAGACAUCUCUGUAGUGAUACUAUAUGCGUAUCAAAGAAAUUGUUUAUAUCUGGAUAUUUAUGGUCAUGCAGGCAUGAAGCAGAAACUCGUCCAUAAUUUUGUUUUAUUAGCAUUCUAUAUUGCAUUUUAAUUUAAGCAGAAAACUGAUGUGCAUGCAUUUUUUAUCUGAAAUAUAAAUUAACGUUCAAUGUCUCAUAUACAGCUAUUCUUCUUUUAGAUUGGUAAGAGAGAAUAGAGUUGGUUCUGCGGGACUCUGUGCGAUUGUGGUGUAGCAAGGUUUAUGUUUUGAUGAUACCUUUAGGUUUUUAGACUGCUCCUGUGAAAAGUUGGAUAAAAUCCUAGUUUAAAGGGAAACCAGUAUUAGUGCAUUGCUAUCUUGGGUUACUGUUGAAUGCUUGUACUUGGAAGGGACCCUUUCUGUUUACAUUUUGAUCGUUUACUCUGCUUCCUCCUACACCUCUCUGUGCAUAAGAUUUGGUGGUGAACUGUGAUGAAUCUGGGAAUAUCUCCCUAACUUCAAGUGUGCUUCAGGGAUUCAUUAGAAAUCAAGUUUCAUGAAUGACAUUAGACAAUCAUGCUGACACGAAAAAUCAAUUGGUGUUGACAUACUGAUCAGAUUUGUGUGAACCACUUUUUGGAUGAAUGAUUCUAACAAUUGUUGCAAAGUUAAAUCUUAUAUUGCACUGAUUAAAUCUUAUAUUGCACUAACUUUUGGUAAAUCUACCAUCUUCUUGUGGAAUUUUUAUGCUGGUCUUGAUCUGCAAAUUCAAAAGAAUAAUGCUCGGCAUUGUUGAGUCUAAUUUGUGGUUGAAGUCAUAAAAAGUUAAAAGGCAACACAUAGCUAGCCAUUGUAGAAUCUCUUUGAAUUUUGCAGCAGAGAUUCAUUAUUUUGUUGAAUGCCGAAGAAUACCCAUGUUUUGAUUUUUCACUUUUCAUUUUGUCCUGUAAAUGAUGGAACCAACUCUGUUAUUACCUGUGUUUUGAUUUUCAUCUUUUCUUUCAUCCUGUAAAUUAUUGUAACAAUUCUGUUUGCUAUGCUAUGACACAAUCUCUGCAGUU